AGAAUCAACGCUGGCGGCGUGCCUAACACAUGCAAGUCGAACGAGAAAGUGGAGCAAUCCAUGAGUAAAGUGGCGCACGGGUGAGUAACACGUGACUAACCUACCUUUUAGUGGGGGAUAACCUAGGGAAACCUGGGCUAAUACCGCAUAACACUUACGAGUCAAAGCAGCAAUGCGCUGAAAGAGGGGGUCGCGGCCGAUUAGCUAGUUGGCGGGGUAAUGGCCCACCAAGGCAGUGAUCGGUAUCCGGCCUGAGAGGGCGCACGGACACACUGGAACUGAAACACGGUCCAGACUCCUACGGGAGGCAGCAGUGGGGAAUUUGCGCAAUGGGGGAAACCCUGACGCAGCAACGCCGCGUGGAGGAUGAAGUCCCUUGGGACGUAAACUCCUUUCGAUCGGGAAGAUAAUGACGGUACCGAUAUAAGAAGCCCCGGCUAACUUCGUGCCAGCAGCCGC
This 459-nucleotide ribosomal RNA is filed under the name uncultured bacterium. RNAcentral describes it as "SSU rRNA". It matches the Rfam family "Bacterial small subunit ribosomal RNA", at positions 26 to 518 of the family's 1533-position model. The record is from RNAcentral.